CUGCUGCCUUCCGUAGGAGUUUGGGCCGUGUCUCAGUCCCAAUGUGGCCGUCCACCCUCUCAGGCCGGCUACUGAUCGUCGCUUUGGUAGGCCGUUACCCUGCCAACUGGCUAAUCAGACGCGGGUCCAUCGCAUACCACCUCGGUUUUUCACACUGGACCAUGCGGUCCCGUGCGCUUAUGCGGUAUUAGCACCUGUUUCCAGGUGUUAUCCCCCGGGUAUACGGCAGGUUACCCACGCGUUACUCACCCGUCCGCCACUAACUUAACA
This 270-nucleotide ribosomal RNA is filed under the name uncultured bacterium. RNAcentral's name for it is "partial 16S ribosomal RNA". The record is from RNAcentral.